GACGAACGCUGGCGGCGCGCCUAACACAUGCAAGUCGAACGGAGCUGAGAGAAGCUUGCUUUUCUUAGCUUAGUGGCGCACGGGUGAGUAACGCGUGAGUAACCUGCCCUGGAGUGGGGGACAACAGUUGGAAACGACUGCUAAUACCGCAUAAGCCCACGAUCCGGCAUCGGAUUGAGGGAAAAGGAUUUAUUCGCUUCAGGAUGGACGCGCGUCCAAUUAGCUAGUUGGUGAGGUAACGGCCCACCAAGGCGACGAUUGGUAGCCGGACUGAGAGGUUGCCCCGCCACGUUGGGACUGAGACACGGCCCAGACUCCUACGGGAGGCAGCAGUGGGGGAUAUUGCACAAUGGGGGAAACCCUGAUGCAGCGACGCGGCGUGGAGGAAGAAGGUUUUCGGAUUGUAAACUCCUGUCGUUAGGGACGAUAAUGACGGUACCUAACAAGAAAGCACCGGCUAACUACGUG
RNAcentral lists this ribosomal RNA (468 nucleotides) under uncultured bacterium. Its description in RNAcentral is "partial 16S ribosomal RNA". It matches the Rfam family "Bacterial small subunit ribosomal RNA", at positions 28 to 507 of the family's 1533-position model. The record is from RNAcentral.